This 357-nucleotide long non-coding RNA is filed under the name Citrus x clementina. Its description in RNAcentral is "Citrus clementina (C. clementina) long non-coding RNA (CCLE_LNC005508)". Lineage: Eukaryota; Viridiplantae; Streptophyta; Magnoliopsida; Sapindales; Rutaceae. The record is from RNAcentral.
GGAUAACGGUACUCCGUGACAAUCAAGUCGGUUACUUCAGUUUCCCAUAAUAACUGAUAUUCUGAGGCGAAGGUAUGGACAGAAACGAGAUUCUAACGAAGCUUCACAAGCGAUUCCCUUCACUUCCUCAGAAUGCCCUCCUUACGAUCUAUAAAGCUCGGUCCGAACGCAUGCGAUUACUCAUGAGAAAUAACAUACCUGCUGACAUCCGUUGGUUAAUCGAGGCUAAAGUACGAUCGGCAGGUGAGUUACCUCCAAAAUUUAUUGCAUACAUGCCUGGUUGUGGUAAAGGAAAUUAUGCAAGAAAACGACGAGCUCGAAGAAUUUCUGUUGCUUGUCAUAAGUGUGCCAGAAUGA